This 131-nucleotide ribosomal RNA is filed under the name uncultured Acidobacteriota bacterium. RNAcentral describes it as "uncultured Acidobacteria bacterium partial 16S ribosomal RNA". It matches the Rfam family "Bacterial small subunit ribosomal RNA", at positions 335 to 466 of the family's 1533-position model. Lineage: Bacteria; Pseudomonadati; Acidobacteriota. The record is from RNAcentral.
ACUCCUACGGGAGGCAGCAGUGGGGAAUUUUGCGCAAUGGGGGAAACCCUGAUGCAGCAACGCCGCGUGGGGGAUGAAUUCCUUUGGGAUGUAAAUUCCUUCGACCGGGACGAUAAUGACGUACUGAGAGA